This 600-nucleotide ribosomal RNA is filed under the name Escherichia coli. RNAcentral's name for it is "bacterial SSU rRNA". It matches the Rfam family "Bacterial small subunit ribosomal RNA", at positions 37 to 629 of the family's 1533-position model. Lineage: Bacteria; Pseudomonadati; Pseudomonadota; Gammaproteobacteria; Enterobacterales; Enterobacteriaceae. The record is from RNAcentral.
UGAGGGGGAGGCUACCAUGCAGUCGAACGGUAACAGGAAGCAGCUUGCUGCUUUGCUGACGAGUGGCGGACGGGUGAGUAAUGUCUGGGAAACUGCCUGAUGGAGGGGGAUAACUACUGGAAACGGUAGCUAAUACCGCAUAACGUCGCAAGACCAAAGAGGGGGACCUUCGGGCCUCUUGCCAUCGGAUGUGCCCAGAUGGGAUUAGCUAGUAGGUGGGGUAACGGCUCACCUAGGCGACGAUCCCUAGCUGGUCUGAGAGGAUGACCAGCCACACUGGAACUGAGACACGGUCCAGACUCCUACGGGAGGCAGCAGUGGGGAAUAUUGCACAAUGGGCGCAAGCCUGAUGCAGCCAUGCCGCGUGUAUGAAGAAGGCCUUCGGGUUGUAAAGUACUUUCAGCGGGGAGGAAGGGAGUAAAGUUAAUACCUUUGCUCAUUGACGUUACCCGCAGAAGAAGCACCGGCUAACUCCGUGCCAGCAGCCGCGGUAAUACGGAGGGUGCAAGCGUUAAUCGGAAUUACUGGGCGUAAAGCGCACGCAGGCGGUUUGUUAAGUCAGAUGUGAAAUCCCCGGGCUCAACCUGGGAACUGCAUCUG